AUCCUGCUCAGGAUGAACGCUAGCUACAGGCUUAACACAUGCAAGUCGAGGGGCAUCAGUUUGGUUUGCUUGCAAACCAAAGCUGGCGACCGGCGCACGGGUGAGUAACACGUAUCCAACCUACCUCAUACUCGGGGAUAGCCUUUCGAAAGAAAGAUUAAUAUCCGAUAGCAUAUAUUUCCCGCAUGGGUUUUAUAUUAAAGAAAUUCGGUAUGAGAUGGGGAUGCGUUCCAUUAGUUUGUCGGGGGGGUAACGG
This 256-nucleotide ribosomal RNA is filed under the name uncultured bacterium. RNAcentral describes it as "partial 16S ribosomal RNA". It matches the Rfam family "Bacterial small subunit ribosomal RNA", at positions 16 to 263 of the family's 1533-position model. The record is from RNAcentral.